CGGAACGGGUGAGUAACACGUGAGCAACCUGCCCUAUACAACGGGAUAACACAGAGAAAUUUGUGCUAAUACGGUAUAAGACCACAGUAUCGCAUGAUACAGGGGUAAAAGAUUUAUCGGUAUAGGAUGGGCUCGCGACCCAUUAGCUAGUUGGUGAGGUAACGGCCCACCAAGGCAACGAUGGGUAGCCGACCUGAGAGGGUGAUCGGCCACACUGGGACUGAGACACGGCCCAGACUCCUACGGGAGGCAGCAG
This 256-nucleotide ribosomal RNA is filed under the name uncultured bacterium. RNAcentral describes it as "partial 16S ribosomal RNA". It matches the Rfam family "Bacterial small subunit ribosomal RNA", at positions 98 to 354 of the family's 1533-position model. The record is from RNAcentral.